GACGAACGCUGGCGGCGUGCUUAAUACAUGCAAGUCAACUUGACUUUAGAUAGCAAUAUCGAAAAGUAGGGUGGCGCACGGGUGCGUAACGCGUAGGUAAUCUGCCCUGAGGUCUGACAUAACCCGUCGAAAGGCGGGCUAACAUCAGAUGAUAUAUAAUCACGACAUCGUGGAAAUAUCAAAUCUUCGGAGCCUUGGGAUGAGCCUGCGUCUGAUUAGGGUAGUUGGCGGAGUAAUAGCCCACCAAGCCUACGAUCAGUAGCUGGUCUGAGAGGAUGAUCAGCCACACUGGAACUGAGACACGGUCCAGACUCCUACGGGAGCAGCAGUAAGGAAUAUUGCUCAAUGGGGGAAACCCUGAAGCAGCAACGCCGCGUGAAGGAUGAAAUACUUUUGUAUGUAAACUUCUGUAAGAUGGGAAAAAUAUUCUCCUCGGGAGAAUUGAUUGCACCAUCAGAGUAAGCCCCGGCUAACUACGUGCCAGCA
This 486-nucleotide ribosomal RNA is filed under the name uncultured bacterium. RNAcentral describes it as "bacterial SSU rRNA". It matches the Rfam family "Bacterial small subunit ribosomal RNA", at positions 28 to 513 of the family's 1533-position model. The record is from RNAcentral.